This 362-nucleotide unclassified non-coding RNA is filed under the name uncultured bacterium. RNAcentral describes it as "contains 16S-23S intergenic spacer region". The record is from RNAcentral.
UCCCGCUUACGCGGGCAGUCUCUUUAGACACUUGUAACUAAAGACAAGGGUUACGCUCGUUCGAGGACUUAACCUAACACCUCACGGCACGAGCUGACGAGGGCCAUGCAGCACCUGUUCUAAUGUCCCGAAGGAAGAUCUUGUUUCCAAGACUGUCAUUAGAAUGUCAAACCCUGGUAAGGUUUUUCGCUUGCCUACGAAUUAAACCAGACGCUCCACCGCUUGUGCGGGUCCCCGCCAAUUCCUUUGAGUUUUAGUCUUGCGACCGUAGUCCCCAGGCGGGAUGUUUAACGGGUUACCUACGCCACCGAAAGGGCCGACUCUCCCGAUAGCUAACAUCCAUAGUUUACAGCGUGGACUAC